Molecule: long non-coding RNA, 980 nt
Organism: Corvus hawaiiensis (hawaiian crow)
Lineage: Eukaryota; Metazoa; Chordata; Aves; Passeriformes; Corvidae
Exons: 2
Source: RefSeq, a predicted model, not a curated record
AACAAAAUGUGAUUAACAAGAGCCUUAAGAAGUAACAAAAAAAGAAUCCUUUGCAGUGAGAAUAAAACCCCAGCAAUUAUUUUUGGCUAUUCCAGACCUGCAGCCUGAGCUUUUGCUGGCAGGGUGUGCAACGCUCUCAGCCAUCCUGGCCACUACCCGCUCCCCUUUGCAUUCCUCCUGCCUUGUUAUUUCAGACAGUCUGGCCUGGAAAGAUGUUGAUUCCCUUCUCACCAGUUCUCUCCUGCUUGGCCUUGCUCUGGACAGAGCUGCACCUCCUGGCAAGGCUGACAUGAAGGAGACUUGUUUGAACCACCUUAAGGGUCCUUUCUCCAAAUGUUGUGAGAGCAUUUCAGUCAGACAUUCCUCACUGGAAGUGCCUCAGCAGCUCUUGGAGGAGGACCAGUACACAGGAUUCCCUGCCCCUCUCCAGGAAUCUGCCCCAUGAAAUCUUCUCCUGCUCAUCCUCUCCCUGGCUCCUCCACAGGGGCUUAGCAGAAAGGAGGGAGGAUGGUCCACCCUGGUUGGGUGUCUGGCCUGAAGGUGAGAGCUGUCAACAGAAACAUCCCUGGGUUCAGCAUCUCCAGCCAUUCCCUGGAAUUUAGAUUUCCAUGGGGUCUUCUCCUGGGACCUCUGCCCACUUCUUCCAGACUGGAGCAGGAGCUCCAUUUGUCUCUAGAUAGCUGGAACACCAAGCUUAGAAAUAUUUUACUUUUCCACUGAUAAGAAAGAUGUGCCUGGCUUGGCUGCUCUGAACCAUUCUGCUCCAGCUGGGUUUCUGGAGGAUGGGUGUUUCAAAAGCCUGCCGUGUCCACCCAAAGUAGGUGGUGGCAUGAUGGUCCCUUGAGAUGCUCAAAGCAUGUCCUGAACUAAAUCCUGCACCAAGCACCACAUUGCUAGUUCUGUAAGUGAAUGGCACUUAGGUUAAGUAUGUAGACACUCUGCUACCGUUGUGUUCUAUUAAAUAUUCUCCUCGCUACGUA